This 924-nucleotide ribosomal RNA is filed under the name Blesingia gularis. RNAcentral's name for it is "eukaryotic LSU rRNA". It matches the Rfam family "Eukaryotic large subunit ribosomal RNA", at positions 1078 to 1916 of the family's 3401-position model. The record is from RNAcentral. Lineage: Eukaryota; Metazoa; Arthropoda; Insecta; Hemiptera; Miridae.
AACUCCGGCUUCCUUGAAAAUUCUUUUAAUGAAGCCGGGGGCUUGGAUCAGAGUGCCAAGUGGGCCAAUUUUGGUAAGCAGAACUGGCGCUGUGGGAUGAACCAAACGUCGAGUUAAGGCGCCCAAGUCGUCGCUCAUGUGAAACCAUGAAAGGCGUUGGUUGCUUAAGACAGCAGGACGGUGGCCAUGGAAGUCGGAAUCCGCUAAGGAGUGUGUAACAACUCACCUGCCGAAGCAACUAGCCCUGAAAAUGGAUGGCGCUGUAGCGACGCUGCCUAUACUCGACCGUCAACGGCAAAGCUGUCUAGGCAGGCAACUGCUCGGACGUUACGCCUUGACGAGUAGGAGGGCCGCGGCGACGUGCGCAGAAGGGUCUGGGCGUGAGCCUGCCUGGAGCCGUCGUCGGUGCAGAUCUUGGUGGUAGUAGCAAAUACUCCAGCGAGGCCCUGGAGGACUGAUGUGGAGAAGGGUUUCUUGUGAACAGCUGUUGCACAAGAGUCAGUCGGUCCUAAGCCCUAGGAGAAAUCCGAAGCGAUGGGUUGCCGUUAAGACAAAUCUGAAGGCACUCGUUUGGGCGAAAGGGAAUCCGGUUCCUAUUCCGGAACCUGGCAGUGGAACCGUUCCAAUUCGGGCCCUCAGAGGACUCGUCAGGGCAACCUGAAUAGACCCGGAGACGCCGACAGGAGAUUGGGGGAGAGUUGUCUCUUCUCUAUAAGCGAUCGAGUUCCCUGGAAACUUCUAGCAAGGAGAUAGGGUUUGGAUCGCGAAGAGCACUGCAGUUACGGCAGUGUCCCAAUCUUCCUCUCGGACCUUGAAAAUCCGGGUGAGGGCCACGAGGAACCCCACGCCAGACCGUACCCAUAUCCGCAGCAGGUCUCCAAGGUGCAAAGCCUCUAGUCGAUAGAAUAAUGUAGUAGGAAGUCA